UUGACCUCGGAUCAGGUAGGGAAUACCCGCUGAACUUAAGCAUAUCAAUAAGCGGAGGAAAAGAAACCAACAGGGAUUGCCUCAGUAACGGCGAGUGAAGCGGCAACAGCUCAAAUUUGAAAUCUGGUCCCCAGGGCCCGAGUUGUAAUUUGCAGAGGAUGCUUUUGACAAGGUGCCUUCCGAGUUCCCUGGAACGGGACGCCAUAGAGGGUGAGAGCCCCGUCUGGUCGGACACCGAGUCUCUGUAAAGCUCCUUCGACGAGUCGAGUAGUUUGGGAAUGCUGCUCUAAAUGGGAGGUAUAUGUCUUCUAAAGCUAAAUCCCGCCCAGAGACCGAUAGCGCACAAGUAGAGUGAUCGAAAGAUGAAAAGCCCUUUGAAAAGAGAGUUAACCAGCCCGUGAAAUUGUUGAAAGGGAAGCGUUUAUGCCCAGCCUUGGCCCGGUUGAUCAUCCCAGGCGGUUCUCGGCUGGUGCACCUCUGCCGGUCCCAGGGCCAGGCAUCAGGUUCGCUGCGGGGGAUAAAGGUUUCGGGAAUUGUGGUCUCUCCGGGGAGUGUUAUAGCCCGUUGCGUAAUACCCUGUGGUGGACUGAG
Molecule: ribosomal RNA, 591 nt
Filed under: Hymenopsis sp. NRRL 37638
Lineage: Eukaryota; Fungi; Ascomycota
Description: eukaryotic LSU rRNA
Rfam family: Eukaryotic large subunit ribosomal RNA
Source: RNAcentral